AUAAUAAAUAGUCUUUUAAUUGAAGGCUGGAAUGAAUGAUUGAACGAGGUAAAUUCUGUCUCAUUUAAAAUAAAAUUUAAAUUUAAUUUUUAAGUUAAAAAGCUUAAAUAUAAUUAGAGGACGAGAAGACCCUAUAGAACUUUAUAAUAUUUUAUUAAAAUUAAUAAAUUUAAAUUUUAUUUUAUUAAUUUUAUAUUAUUUUAUUGGGGCGAUAAUAAAAUUUAAUUAACUUUUAUAAUUUUAAAUACAUUAAUUUAUGAGAAUUUGAUCCUAUUUUUUAGAUUAUUAGAUUAAGUUACCUUAGGGAUAACAGCGUUAUUUUUUUUUAGAGUUCAUAUUAAUAAAAAAGAUUGC
This 354-nucleotide ribosomal RNA is filed under the name Scobina inculta. RNAcentral's name for it is "partial 16S ribosomal RNA". The record is from RNAcentral. Lineage: Eukaryota; Metazoa; Arthropoda; Insecta; Hymenoptera; Argidae.